GAUGAACGCUGGCGGCGUGCCUAAUACAUGCAAGUCGAGCGAACAGACGAGGAGCUUGCUCCUCUGACGUUAGCGGCGGACGGGUGAGUAACACGUGGAUAACCUACCUAUAAGACUGGGAUAACUUCGGGAAACCGGAGCUAAUACCGGAUAAUAUAUUGAACCGCAUGGUUCAAUAGUGAAAGACGGUUUUGCUGUCACUUAUAGAUGGAUCCGCGCCGCAUUAGCUAGUUGGUAAGGUAACGGCUUACCAAGGCAACGAUGCGUAGCCGACCUGAGAGGGUGAUCGGCCACACUGGAACUUAGACACGGUCCAGACUCCUACGGGAGGCAGCAGUAGGGAAUGUGCCGCAAUGGGCGAAAGCCUGACGGAGCAACGCCGCGUGAGUGAUGAAGGUCUUCGGAUCGUAAAACUCUGUUAUUAGGGAAGAACAAGUGUGUAAGUAACUAUGCACGUCUUGACGGUACCUAAUCAGAAAGCCACGGCUAACUACGUG
This 497-nucleotide ribosomal RNA is filed under the name uncultured bacterium. RNAcentral's name for it is "partial 16S ribosomal RNA". It matches the Rfam family "Bacterial small subunit ribosomal RNA", at positions 28 to 507 of the family's 1533-position model. The record is from RNAcentral.